CUGUGACAGAUGAACUUGACAAAACUCUGAGCGGUGGAUCACUCGGCUCGCGUGUCGAUGAAGAGCGCAGCCAGCKGMGUGAAGUAAUGUGAAGUGCACGACACAUUGAACAUCGAUAUCUUGACGCACAUUGCGGCCUCGGGUAUUCCCGAGGCCACGCCUGUCUCAGGGUCGGUUGAAAGUAUCUAUCGCGAGUUGUCUCUU
RNAcentral lists this ribosomal RNA (204 nucleotides) under Aulophorus borellii. RNAcentral's name for it is "5.8S ribosomal RNA". The stretch from base 23 to 174 matches the Rfam family "5.8S ribosomal RNA". Rfam says of the family: 5.8S ribosomal RNA (5.8S rRNA) is a component of the large subunit of the eukaryotic ribosome. It is transcribed by RNA polymerase I as part of the 45S precursor that also contains 18S and 28S rRNA. Lineage: Eukaryota; Metazoa; Annelida; Clitellata; Tubificida; Naididae. The record is from RNAcentral.